Molecule: non-coding RNA, 53 nt
Filed under: Pseudomonas [fluorescens] SBW25
Lineage: Bacteria; Pseudomonadati; Pseudomonadota; Gammaproteobacteria; Pseudomonadales; Pseudomonadaceae
Source: RNAcentral
CUAACCUUUUCCCGUCGCUGCCAAUUCAGUGACCGGGACUGCAAGCCCGCCGA